GUCCUACGGGGGGCAGCAGUGGGGAAUAUUGCACAAUGGGGGGAACCCUGAUGCAGCGACGCCGCGUGGGUGAAGGAGUACUUCGGUAUGUAAAGCCCUAUCAGCAGGAAAGAAAAUGACGGUACCUGACUAAGAAGCCCCGGCUAACUACGUGCCAGCAGCCGCGGUAAUACGUAGGGGGCAAGCGUUAUCCGGAUUUACUGGGUGUAAAGGGAGCGUAGACGGCAGUGCAAGUCCGGAGUGAAAGCCCGGGGCUCAACCCUGGGACUGCUCUGGAAACUGUAAAGCUGGAGUGCGGGAGGGGC
RNAcentral lists this ribosomal RNA (305 nucleotides) under uncultured bacterium. Its description in RNAcentral is "bacterial SSU rRNA". It matches the Rfam family "Bacterial small subunit ribosomal RNA", at positions 335 to 658 of the family's 1533-position model. The record is from RNAcentral.